Molecule: transfer RNA, 18 nt
Filed under: Corydalus flavicornis
Lineage: Eukaryota; Metazoa; Arthropoda; Insecta; Megaloptera; Corydalidae
Also listed under: 1 other name
Description: partial tRNA-Trp
Source: RNAcentral
UAUUGAAGGCUUUAAGUU